This 684-nucleotide ribosomal RNA is filed under the name Triticum aestivum (bread wheat). RNAcentral describes it as "partial small subunit ribosomal RNA". Lineage: Eukaryota; Viridiplantae; Streptophyta; Magnoliopsida; Poales; Poaceae. The record is from RNAcentral.
AUGGGAUCCAUCAUUCAUGGGAAUGGGGAAUGUCUUUUCCUGAUAAUGAUCCCAACAAAUCGGCAACAACGACAACUGCAAUAUGGUCCUUCUCCCGGUCAGUUCCAAGGUGGGUCUCAUUUUCAAGGGUAUGGGGAAGGGCAAUCAAGCACCUGCCGCCGGAAUUCCCAAAACCCUCAACAGAAAAUGAAGAACAAGAGCUUCGAUUCUCAGAAGGAGCAACAGGGGAAGUCAAGAAGUGUUGAUGAAGCAGGCAGUGGUCAAAAUAGGAAAGAGGGGGCUGUCAUCAAUUAUGAUAAAAAAAAGAGGAAGGAUGUGAUGUGUUACAACUAUGGAGAGCCGGCUCACUUUGUUGGGACUUGUCCAUUGCCCAAAAAUCGUUUCAUUUGUCACAAGUCUGGGCAUCACAUGGACAAUUGUGUGGAAUGGUACAAACCUCAAGUUGUUGCCCAAUACUAUGGCAGUGCCAAUGCUGGACUGGGCUUCUUCCACAUUGAGUCUGGACACAAGGAUGCUGUUAAGUGGCUUAACCUGUCUAAUGUGUGUGUUGCUGUGAUUGAGGAAUGUUCUAUCUCUACUCGAGAACUGAAGCGAAACUUCUCUGAAAUCGGGAAGACUAACUGGCCAUGGCAGGUGAGACAGCUGACUGAAAAAAUGCUUCCUGGUCAGGCUUCCACCGGAUAA